Long non-coding RNA from Strigops habroptila (Kakapo), 535 nucleotides. RefSeq lists it as uncharacterized. The transcript is spliced from 3 exons. The record is from RefSeq and is a predicted model, not a curated record. NCBI's taxonomy places the organism in Eukaryota, Metazoa, Chordata, Aves, Psittaciformes, Psittacidae.
GACUGAUCGCAGAAGCACACUGUUCCAGGCUGGUGCAGCAUCAGCAGAGCCACUGGCAAAGCCCCUGGAGGAUGAGGCCAUGGAUAUGGAGGGACAGAUGACGCCCAUUCCCCAGCAGCCCCACAUGACAACCAACAGUGAGGAACAUGGGACCAAAGACUGUUGCAGGGCACAGGCCUUGACAAAGUUCCUGAGUGUAACAGAAGAAAUACUUCUUGGAGGUUACAAAGCCAGACAAGCAGACACACUGCCCUGAAGCUGGACACCAUCCAGCUCAUCACCAGCUUCCAGACAUCUUGCCCCAAGGAGAGGGAAGAAGAGCAGGGUCCUGGUGCUGGGACCUGGAGAACCACAUCUGGACAUGGUGUUUCAAAUCCCUUCUAUUACUGCAGCUCCAUCACAAAGAAAGACCAGUUCUUUUUCUUUUACAAACAAACAUUGACCUAGCCUGUAUUAGUGCAGUCUGGUAAGACAACAGUCUUCCUAGGAACAGGAAAAUAGGGAUGUACAAAAUAAAACAAUCUACACAAUUGAA